RNAcentral lists this transfer RNA (71 nucleotides) under Salmo salar (Atlantic salmon). It matches the Rfam family "tRNA". Rfam says of the family: Transfer RNA (tRNA) molecules are approximately 80 nucleotides in length. Their secondary structure includes four short double-helical elements and three loops (D, anti-codon, and T loops). Further hydrogen bonds mediate the characteristic L-shaped molecular structure. tRNAs have two regions of fundamental functional importance: the anti-codon, which is responsible for specific mRNA codon recognition, and the 3' end, to which the tRNAs corresponding amino acid is attached (by aminoacyl-tRNA synthetases). tRNAs cope with the degeneracy of the genetic code in two manners: having more than one tRNA (with a specific anti-codon) for a particular amino acid; and 'wobble' base-pairing, i.e. permitting non-standard base-pairing at the 3rd anti-codon position. The record is from Rfam by way of RNAcentral. Lineage: Eukaryota; Metazoa; Chordata; Actinopteri; Salmoniformes; Salmonidae. RNAcentral also lists the same sequence under 1 other name.
UCCCGUGUGGCUCAGUUGGUAGAGCAUGGUGUUUGCAACGCCAGGGUUGUGGGUUUGAUUCCCACGGGGAA